AUCAUUACCGAGAGAGGGGCCUCGCGCUCCCGGGGGCUUCGGCCUCCACCUCUUCACCCUGUGUGUACCUACCUUUGUUGCUUUGGCGGGCCCUCGGGGGUCUCCCCCGCGCGGGCCUCCGGGUCAGUGAGCGCCCGUCAGAGGCCCAAUUAAAUCCGUUUUAUCAGUGUCGUCCGAGUACCAAUAUACAAUAUAUCAAAACUUUCAACAACGGAUCUCUUGGUUCCAGCAUCGAUGAAGAACGCAGCGAAAUGCGAUAAGUAAUGUGAAUUGCAGAAUUCAGUGAAUCAUCGAAUCUUUGAACGCACAUUGCGCCCCUCGGUAUUCCGGGGGGCAUGCCUGUUCGAGCGUCAUUACACCCUUCAAGCGUAGCUUGGUAUUGGGCUUUCGCCGUCCGCGGCGUGCCCGGAAAUCAGUGGCGGUCCGGCGUGACUCUUAGGCGUAGUAAAAUUAUCCCGCUUGGAAAGUUUGCGUCUGGCCGGCCAGCAACCCCACCAUUUGCUUCAAUAAUUGAC
This 515-nucleotide ribosomal RNA is filed under the name Flavoparmelia amplexa. RNAcentral describes it as "eukaryotic LSU rRNA". The stretch from base 200 to 353 matches the Rfam family "5.8S ribosomal RNA". The record is from RNAcentral. Lineage: Eukaryota; Fungi; Ascomycota; Lecanoromycetes; Lecanorales; Parmeliaceae.